Helianthus annuus (common sunflower) is the source of this 3717-nucleotide long non-coding RNA. RefSeq lists it as uncharacterized. Lineage: Eukaryota; Viridiplantae; Streptophyta; Magnoliopsida; Asterales; Asteraceae. The transcript has 4 exons. The record is from RefSeq and is a predicted model, not a curated record.
UAUGUAUCACAAUUUCCAAAAAAACAUUUUCACCAGAAUAACCUCAACAAUGGUUUUAGUAACACACCUCUCGCAACGAUCCGAUCAAACAACUCUCCACCCUUACACAACUCCAUAACCAAAUGCACAGCACUAUCAUCUUCAUAAGUAUCCUUCAAACUCACAAUAUUAGGGUGAGGUGGCAUAUGCUUCAUAAUCUCAACCUCCCUCCUAACAUCAGUACACAAAUAAGUAACCCCAAAUUCACCCCUACCCAAUUCUCUACCAAGAACAUAUGUUUGUUCUAUUUGAUUCCCACUUGGGUUUUCUAAAACAUAUGGUUUAUACCCAUUUCCAGAUGGGAUUGACCCACCGUUUUCGGAAUCGUUAUCUGUGGUAGAGGGUACAGCACAACAAUUCCCCAGUUAAUAUUCUGAUCAAGAAACAUAUUCUUUAAUGGGUUAUCAGAAAUUUGAAGAUUUUAUUAAAAAAAAAGAUUGAAUUGGGUCAAAAGGGUUAUCAAGAAACAGAUUCUUGAAAUGGGUAUACUGAAAUUUUGAGAAUUUAUGAAAAAGAUUGAAGUGGGUCAAAAGGGUUUAUGUUGGAUCGAAUAGAUCUUGAAAAUGGUAAGUCUUGAUUGAUGAGAUUUUGGGGUUUUAAAAGCAAGAUAUUAUGAAGAAUUGUGAAAAAAAUUGAAGCUUGAUAGACGAUGAUCAAAAAGCGAAUCGCAAAGGGGACAAACAAGUUGGAGGUUGACUGAAUAGAGAGAGGGAGGGGGUCGGGAUAGUUGAGAGGAAGAAGAUGAACCGGGCAUACAUAUAAUCAGGUUUGCUUUUGGACAAAUGGCAAAAAAAAUGAAACCACAGGGACCCAGAUACAAAAGGUUUGAGAUUUGGACUAAAGUGGUAAAAGUGACCAAACCUUAGGGACCAAAAUGACAGUUUACUCUAAAUUUUAUAGUAUGUUUCACAUAAACUAUUGUAUCAAGUUAUUUUAUGUUAUACGAAUGAAAUUAUUAUUAUAUUAUAUUAUAUCAAUUUACAUCGCUACUUUGCGCCAGUGCGCUUCUUCAAUUUUAGGUUUUCACACUGAGGUUUGUUUUCUUUCAUUUUUUCCCUCAUCCAACUACCCACCGCCCCCUUCUUCUUCUUCUUCUUCAAAAUCUAACCCUAACCCACAUGAAAGUGUCUCUGGAGAGACAGAGGGGAGAAGAGAUGGGAGACAGAGAGACCUCCGGCUUCCACACGGUCGCCGCGUCGCACAUGCCUCCCCGGCGUCGACAUGACAGACGGGUCCGCCGUACAUGGUGGUGGGGUUAUGUCGGUUCUCCGGCGGUUGCUAGGUUGUCCGUUGCUGUUUCUGUCCACAUCAGCAGAAGUCGAUGGUGACCGCAGAUAUGGUAUCCCCAGAGUGACAAGGAUGGCUUCAAGAAGCUCCGGCGAAACACCUAGGUCCGCUCCUAUUCCGGCGAAGUUCCCCGUAUGCUUUCCCGAUUAUUAAGUAAGGCAUGAAUUUGAUCUGAGAUGAGCGUAUGGGGAUCACAGGAUGGGGAGAAGAAACUUAAAUUCAAACUCACAUGUUAACCAACACAAUGGCGACCUCGAUUCUCCUUCAGCAAUCCAUCAACUGCUUCAUCUGCAACCACCAGUUUGGGAAGAACAACUUGGCCGCAACUAAACCUAAUUUCGUGGAGAAAUGUAAGAAACUUCGUGAUAUUAAGGCUAGAGUAGCGGUUGAUGCUAUGGAGACUGCUACUUCUCCUACUGCUUUUCCGUUUUUUCAGACAGAACCGAAACAAGAAGAUACGCCUGCUUCUAAGGUGAAGUAACGGUUAUUGUUUUACUGUUAAUAAGUGCUAUUCUUUUUAGACCUUUAGAUCUGUAUACUUGGUGUAGAGGAGAUGUGUAUCCAUUUGUUACUUGAGUCGAUCAUAUACCGAGGUUAUAAACAAAUCCAUGGGACUUUUCGAGUGGUAUAGAAAUGAUAAAAGUAAUUCCAGACAAACUUCUCGAGCUGGUUAUGUUGCAAAUUUAUAUGCUCUGGGUGCUUGUGAUUUAGUCGACGUUUGGAUCAGGAAGUUUGGUGCUACUGAGCAUAUGACCUCUGAUCCUACUUUAGUUGAGGGUGCGUGAGCUUAUCGAGAAGAGAUGGAAAAAUCUGUAACAUUACUCAUAUCGGCCAUUCCACCAUCAUGUGUGUUAUUUUAGUUUCAGGUCUUACAAAAAAUCUUAUGUCAGUCAUGUAUUGUUAAAUUCUCAUAUCUUUGUUAUGUUUUUGAUGCUCUUAUCACAUUUAUACUCACAAUAGUUAUGCUAUGUCUACUGCUGUCACUUUCUAGGUCGCUUUGGCAUUCUAGACGUUGGGUUUUCUUAACUGUUUUUGACCUUUGUGUCACCCUCCUAAGUUCACCAUAGACCGUAGCUUUGGUGUGCAAGUACUGGUGAUACUUAUAUUAUAUGAAGACCAAUCAGGUGUUUCAUUAGCAUGCGAAACACAGACUGACAUCCACUUCAUUCGAGAUGUGGUGUUAGUUCCACUGCCUCAGCUUCAUUAUCUGUGACUUUGCUUGAUUGCUGAUGUUUUGGCAAUUCAGUCGACCCCAACAUUUUGCUUGCGAGUGUGUUGAUUAGGGUUCAAGAGGUGGCGUGCAGAAACACAUUCCGACGAACGCUCCGGUUACGGCGAAGAUCCAGUAACUUCCUUUUCAGAGAUAGGUAUUUCAUUUUAUGCCCCAAAGAAGUCGAAUUCCGUUAGUGUCGAUUUAGAUGCAGUUUGCUUAAAUUGGCGCAUCCGCCGCAACGCGCGGGACGCCAGCUAGUUAUAUAUCAAACAACAUCGAUGGUUUGCGCCAGUUUAUUUUGCGUGCUUCAGAGAUUUGCCACACAUCUUUUUGACUUUCGAUAAGAAACCCCACAGUUUGUUCUUCGCCUCACAACUCAGAGAAAAACUUAUCUCCUGCUCUAUGCGACACGCGAGAUCACCGGCACCGCACCUCUUUUCUUCUCUGGCCAAAUCCAACGACUUCAAGCCGGAUGAUGAAAUCUGCCUUAAUCGUAUGGCUGUUGGUUGUUUGAAGACCGCCAGGCGGCAGACAGAAGGAAAGGAACAGCCGGCAGGACUCCGGCGACGUCGACGGUUGUCAAAUUGUCCUGCAUGUCUGGUUUCCGGCCAGAUCUGGUACGUUGGAGGUCGAUCUCCAGUCAAGUGGUUGUUGGGGGUACUGCUGCAACUAAACAAAGAAGCCCCUUGCCUGAAACCAUUGGCCUAAGAACCUUAAGAUGGCGAUCGUGAUGGGGAAGAUAGUCGGCGAAAACAAAAAAAGAAAAGAAAUGAAAACACAAGAUAUGAUGGGUAUUUGAAACAAGAGAGAUGGUGUGGUUAGAUGAGAUUUAACCUUCAUUCAAUCAAAAAGAAGCAAAAUUAAGCAAGAAAACAAAUGUAGAGAGAGGAUGGUUGAUUUGCUGUGUACCAAAAAGAAAAAGAAGAGAGAAUUUCAGAAAUCUGAAAAUUAAAUGGCAAUAGGUAAAUUAUUUGGAAAUGCUUAUGACGUAUAUGUUAUUCUUUUUGUAAAUAAAGGAAAUGUAAUUAGCCCAUAUCUUUCUCAAUAAAUGAUAAGACUAAGACCAUAUGUAAUGGGGCUUUAUAAGGGCAUGAAAGAUUUUGAUAAUGCCCUUACACCAUUACUCAUGGGCAUUAUAAGGGCAUGAAGAGUGAGGGGCAUUUCUAGAAUAAUGCCCA